CGCCACAGCCGCCAAAAUAUUCAGUCCGACUCGGACUGAAAACCUCUACCACCUUCGUCGCCGUCGAGGAAGGAGAGCCAAGGAGGAGAGAAAAUGACGAAAACGUCCUCCUCGGCGGUGCGGGAUUUCUCGUGGAAGUACUGGUGGUAGUGGCACAGAACCUGUUCGAUCAAAUGCCUCUGACGGUCGUCGUCGUCGUCUUAGAUGAAGCAGAGCAGAGCAGGAGUUGGUCGAGCAAGGGUUGCUGCCGGAGUAGCCAGCCUUCGAGAAAAACGACGAAGCGCUCUCAGAUUGGGUGAGACAUUUUGGUAAGUCACUGAUGACUUUGAUGUGAGGCUUGGGACAUCGGCCAGUCGGCCAUUAGUGUGAUUGGGACAUCGCGGUGGCGGUGUGGGAGUUGAGGGAGGAGGAGAUUGGAGAAUUGGCUGGGUGUCGAAUGAACGGAGACUGCCUGGUGGGGACGAGAUCGUGCCGGCGCGGCUUGGAUCCGAUCAAUUUGAUCUGGUUUGGACUGGGUCGCAUGAGUCCGAUCUGGGAAAGGGAUGGGAUGGAAACGUUUUCGCUGCUCCAUGGUUAAAUGGUCGACGGCUCGAUGCGAAUGGCGGUGGGAUGAAGGCGGCGGUCCGGCGAACGUGGCUGUGCGGCGCAGCGAGUGGUUCGUCGGAGGUGGUGGGGUUGGGCCAGGUUGAAUGGUUUGUUGAGUAGGUUGAGAUCAGAGGUCGAAACUUGGUGGUAGUUGGGCCUGGGCGUUUGUCAUGGUCUUGGGUAUUUUUUGUAUUUAUUUUUUUUAUAUUGUAUGAAUUGUUUUGUUAUAAUUUAUUUUAAUAAACUACAGUUUAUUAUAUGAAAUUUGUCCGUGACAU
This 863-nucleotide long non-coding RNA is filed under the name Rosa chinensis. RNAcentral describes it as "sRNA RchiOBHm_Chr3g0451021". Lineage: Eukaryota; Viridiplantae; Streptophyta; Magnoliopsida; Rosales; Rosaceae. The record is from RNAcentral.